RNAcentral lists this ribosomal RNA (253 nucleotides) under uncultured bacterium. RNAcentral's name for it is "partial 16S ribosomal RNA". It matches the Rfam family "Bacterial small subunit ribosomal RNA", at positions 524 to 776 of the family's 1533-position model. The record is from RNAcentral.
UACGUAGGAGGCAAGCGUUGUCCGGAAUUACUGGGUGUAAAGCGCGUGUAGGCGGCAGGCCAAGUCUGUGGUGAAAUCGCUCGGCUCAACUGGGCGGGGUCCAUGGAAACUGGUCAGCUGGAGGACGGUAGAGGUGAGUGGAAUUCCCGGUGUAGUGGUGAAAUGCGUAGAGAUCGGGAGGAACGCCCGUGGCGAAGGCGGCUCACUGGGCCGGUCCUGACGCUGAGACGCGAAGGCGUGGGGAGCGAACGGG